Molecule: ribosomal RNA, 492 nt
Filed under: uncultured bacterium
Lineage: Bacteria
Description: partial 16S ribosomal RNA
Rfam family: Bacterial small subunit ribosomal RNA
Source: RNAcentral
GAUGAACGCUAGCUACAGGCUUAACACAUGCAAGUCGAGGGGAAACGACAUCGAAAGCUUGCUUUUGAUGGGCGUCGACCGGCGCACGGGUGAGUAACGCGUAUCCAACCUGCCCAUCACUUGGGAUUAACCUUGCGAAAGUAAGACUAAUACCCAAUGACAUCCCACGAAGACAUCUGAAUGGGAUUAAAGAUUUAUCGGUGAUGGAUGGGGAUGCGUCUGAUUAGCUUGUUGGCGGGGUAACGGCCCACCAAGGCAACGAUCAGUAGGGGUUCUGAGAGGAAGGUCCCCCACAUUGGAACUGAGACACGGUCCAAACUCCUACGGGAGGCAGCAGUGAGGAAUAUUGGUCAAUGGGCGAGAGCCUGAACCAGCCAAGUAGCGUGCAGGAUGACGGCCCUAUGGGUUGUAAACUGCUUUUAUAAGGGAAUAAAGUGGGUCUCGUGAGACUUUUUGCAUGUACCUUAUGAAUAAGGACCGGCUAAUUCCGUG